This 155-nucleotide ribosomal RNA is filed under the name uncultured Amycolatopsis sp. Its description in RNAcentral is "partial 16S ribosomal RNA". It matches the Rfam family "Bacterial small subunit ribosomal RNA", at positions 291 to 450 of the family's 1533-position model. Lineage: Bacteria; Bacillati; Actinomycetota; Actinomycetes; Pseudonocardiales; Pseudonocardiaceae. The record is from RNAcentral.
CCUGAGAGGGUGACCGGCCACACUGGGACUGAGACACGGCCCAGACUCCUACGGGAGGCAGCAGUGGGGAAUAUUGCACACGCAAGCCCCUGAUGCAGCACGCCGCGUGAGUGAUGACGGCCUUCGGGUUGUAAACCUCUUUCUCAGGGACGAAA